CUUCGCGGCCGGCCUUGCCCUCUACACCUGACAAGUCGAACGGCAGCACGGGUGCUUGCACCUGGUGGCGAGUGGCGAACGGGUGAGUAAUACAUCGGAACAUGUCCUGUAGUGGGGGAUAGCCCGGCGAAAGCCGGAUUAAUACCGCAUACGAUCUACGGAUGAAAGCGGGGGACCUUCGGGCCUCGCGCUAUAGGGUUGGCCGAUGGCUGAUUAGCUAGUUGGUGGGGUAAAGGCCCACCAAGGCGACGAUCAGUAGCUGGUCUGAGAGGACGACCAGCCACACUGGGACUGAGACACUGAGACACGGCCCAGACUCCUACGGGAGGCAGCAGUGGGGAAUUUUGGACAAUGGGCGAAAGCCUGAUCCAGCAAUGCCGCGUGUGUGAAGAAGGCCUUCGGGUUGUAAAGCACUUUUGUCCGGAAAGAAAUCCUGAGGGCUAAUAUCCUUCGGGGAUGACGGUACCGGAAGAAUAAGCACCGGCUAACUACGUGCCAGCUAAUACGUAGGGUGCGAGCGUUAAUCGGAAUUACUGGGCGUAAAGCGUGCGCAGGCGGUUUGUUAAGACCGAUGUGAAAUCCCCGGGCUCAACCUGGGAACUGCAUUGGUGACUGGCAAGCUAGAGUAUGGCAGAGGGGGGUAGAAUUCCACGUGUAGCAGUGAAAUGCGUAGAGAUGUGGAGGAAUACCG
Molecule: ribosomal RNA, 691 nt
Filed under: Burkholderia sp.
Lineage: Bacteria; Pseudomonadati; Pseudomonadota; Betaproteobacteria; Burkholderiales; Burkholderiaceae
Description: bacterial SSU rRNA
Rfam family: Bacterial small subunit ribosomal RNA
Source: RNAcentral